CUUUGAUUAUGGCUCAGGAUGAACGCUAGCUACAGGCUUAACACAUGCAAGUCGAGGGGAAACGACAUAGUUAGCUUGCUAACUUUGGGCGUCGACCGGCGCACGGGUGAGUAACGCGUAUCCAACCUGCCCACCACCUGGGAAUAACCUUGCGAAAGUAAGACUAAUGCCCAAUGACGUUGAAAGAAGACAUCUGAUUUCAACUAAAGAUUCAUCGGUGAUGGAUGGGGAUGCGUCCGAUUAGCUUGUUGGCGGGGUAACGGCCCACCAAGGCAACGAUCGGUAGGGGUUCUGAGAGGAAGGUCCCCCACAUUGGAACUGAGACACGGUCCAAACUCCUACGGGAGGCAGCAGUGAGGAAUAUUGGUCAAUGGGCGAGAGCCUGAACCAGCCAAGUAGCGUGCAGGAUGACGGCCCUAUGGGUUGUAAACUGCUUUUAUAAGGGAAUAAAGUGGGGCUCGUGAGCUCCUUUGCAUGUACCUUACGAAUAAGGACCGGCUAAUUCCGUGCCAGCAGCCGCGGUAAUACGGAAGGUCCGGGCGUUAUCCGGAUUUAUUGGGUUUAAAGGGAGCGUAGGCCGGAGAUUAAGCGUGUUGUGAAAUGUAGAUGCUCAACAUCUGCACUGCAGCGCGAACUGGUUUCCUUGAGUACGCACAAAGUGGGCGGAAUUCGUGGUGUAGCGGUGAAAUGCUUAGAUAUCACGAAGAACUCCGAUUGCGAAGGCAGCUCACUGGAGCGCAACUGACGCUGAAGCUCGAAAGUGCGGGUAUCGAACAGGAUUAGAUACCCUGGUAGUCCGCACGGUAAACGAUGGAUGCCCGCUGUUGGUCUGAAUAGGUCAGCGGCCAAGCGAAAGCAUUAAGCAUCCCACCUGGGGAGUACGCCGGCAACGGUGCAACUCAAAUGAAUUGACGGA
This 916-nucleotide ribosomal RNA is filed under the name uncultured Bacteroidota bacterium. RNAcentral describes it as "bacterial SSU rRNA". It matches the Rfam family "Bacterial small subunit ribosomal RNA", at positions 11 to 917 of the family's 1533-position model. The record is from RNAcentral. Lineage: Bacteria; Pseudomonadati; Bacteroidota.